Molecule: ribosomal RNA, 301 nt
Filed under: uncultured bacterium
Lineage: Bacteria
Description: partial 16S ribosomal RNA
Rfam family: Bacterial small subunit ribosomal RNA
Source: RNAcentral
CAGUAGCCGCGGUAAUACGUAGGGUGCAAGCGUUAAUCGGAAUUACUGGGCGUAAAGCGUGCGCAGGCGGUUAUAUAAGUCAGAUGUGAAAUCCCCAAGCUUAACUUGGGACGUGCAUUUGAAACUGGGUGACUAGAGUGUGUCAGAGGGAGGUAGGAUUCCACAUGUAGCGGUGGAAUGCGUAGAGAUGUGGAGGAAUACCGAUGGCGAAGGCAGCCUCCUGGGAUAACACUGACGUUGAGGCUCGAAAGCGUGGGGAGCAAACAGGAUUAGAUACCCGUGUAGUCCCUGUCUCUUAUAC